This 495-nucleotide ribosomal RNA is filed under the name uncultured bacterium. RNAcentral describes it as "partial 16S ribosomal RNA". It matches the Rfam family "Bacterial small subunit ribosomal RNA", at positions 30 to 507 of the family's 1533-position model. The record is from RNAcentral.
UGAACGCUGGCGGCGUGCCUAAUACAUGCAAGUCGAGCGAACAGAUACGGAGCUUGCUCCUUUGACGUUAGCGGCGGACGGGUGAGUAACACGUGGGUAACCUACCUAUAAGACUGGGAUAACUUCGGGAAACCGGAGCUAAUACCGGAUAACAUUUGGAACCGCAUGGUUCUAAAGUGAAAGAUGGUUUUGCUAUCACUUAUAGAUGGACCCGCGCCGUAUUAGCUAGUUGGUAAGGUAACGGCUUACCAAGGCAACGAUACGUAGCCGACCUGAGAGGGUGAUCGGCCACACUGGAACUGAGACACGGUCCAGACUCCUACGGGAGGCAGCAGUAGGGAAUCUUCCGCAAUGGGCGAAAGCCUGACGGAGCAACGCCGCGUGAGUGAUGAAGGGUUUCGGCUCGUAAAACUCUGUUAUUAGGGAAGAACAAAUGUGUAAGUAACUGUGCACGUCUUGACGGUACCUAAUCAGAAAGCCACGGCUAACUACGUG